Molecule: small RNA, 28 nt
Filed under: Bombyx mori (domestic silkworm)
Lineage: Eukaryota; Metazoa; Arthropoda; Insecta; Lepidoptera; Bombycidae
Description: ovarian small RNA-29973
Source: RNAcentral
UCUGCGAAGCACUGCUCUUGCUAGGGUU